UAGGGAAUAUUAGAAAUGGACGAAAGUCUGAUCUAGCAACACCGCGUGUGCGAAGAAGGCCUUCGGGUCGCAAAGCACUUUUUGGAAGGAAUAGGAAGGAAUGUACUUCCAGAAUAAGUCUCGGCUAACUACGUGCCAGCAGCCGCGGUAACACGUAGGAGGCGACGGUUAUCCGGAUUUACUGGGCGUAAAGCGCGUGUAGGUGGUACUGUAAGUAGGGCGUGAAAGCUCCUGGCUCAACUGGGAGAGGCCGUUCUAAACUACAGAACUAGAGGAUGGUAGAGGGAGGUGGAAUUCCAGGUGUAGCGGUGGAAUGCGCAGAUAUCUGGAGGAACACCGGUGGCGAAGGCGGCCUCCUGGACCAUUCCUGACACUCAGACGCGAAAGCUAGGGUAGCAAACGG
This 403-nucleotide ribosomal RNA is filed under the name uncultured bacterium. Its description in RNAcentral is "bacterial SSU rRNA". It matches the Rfam family "Bacterial small subunit ribosomal RNA", at positions 355 to 775 of the family's 1533-position model. The record is from RNAcentral.